GUGGCGGCGUGCUUAACACAUGCAAGUCGAACGAGACGAUUUAGAAGCUUGCUUUUUUUGAGUCGAGUGGCAAACGGGUGAGUAACGCGUAGACAACCUGCCGCAAAGAUGGGGACAACAGUCCGAAAGGACUGCUAAUACCGAAUGUUGUAUCUCCUCCGCAUGGAAGAGAUAUUAAAGAUGGCCUCUACUUGUAAGCUAUCGCUUUGCGAUGGGUCUGCGUCUGAUUAGCUAGUUGGUGGGGCAACGGCCUACCAAGGCGACGAUCAGUAGCCGGUCUGAGAGGAUGAACGGCCACAUUGGAACUGAGACACGGUCCAGACUCCUACGGGAGGCAGCAGUGGGGAAUCUUCCGCAAUGGGCGAAAGCCUGACGGAGCAACGCCGCGUGAGUGAAGAAGGUCUUCGGAUCGUAAAGCUCUGUUGUCGGGGACGAAUGUUGAGACCUAGAACAUAGGUUUCAAAUGACGGUACCUGACGAGGAAGCCACGGCUAACUACGUG
Molecule: ribosomal RNA, 502 nt
Filed under: uncultured bacterium
Lineage: Bacteria
Description: bacterial SSU rRNA
Rfam family: Bacterial small subunit ribosomal RNA
Source: RNAcentral